UGUUCUUUAAAUGUGGACUAGUAUGAACGGCAUCACGAGGGUUAUACUGUCUCCUUUCUCUAAUCAGUGAAACUAAUCCCCCCGUGAAGAAGCGGGGAUAAAACUAUAAGACGAGAAGACCCUAUGGAGCUUUAAAGUUCUUUUCAAACGCCAAACCUCUUCCAAGUCACAGACUCCUGCACGAAACCACGCGCCAUGAAGACAACUUUUAGGUUGGGGUGACCAUGGAGUAUAAGACAACCUCCACGCUGAACAGGCCUCUAAACCUUGAGCCAAGGACCACAGCCCGCCGCACUAAAAAAUUAACACACAUUGAUCCAAUGAAUUUUGAUCAACGAACCAAGUUACCCUAGGGAUAACAGCGCAAUCUACUUCAAGAGUCCCUAUCGACAAGUGGGUUUACGACCUCGAUGUUGGAUCAGGGUGUCCCAGUGGUGCAG
This 440-nucleotide ribosomal RNA is filed under the name Scinax cf. similis MUFAL12256/2. RNAcentral's name for it is "partial large subunit ribosomal RNA". It matches the Rfam family "Bacterial large subunit ribosomal RNA", at positions 1970 to 2558 of the family's 2925-position model. Lineage: Eukaryota; Metazoa; Chordata; Amphibia; Anura; Hylidae. The record is from RNAcentral.